GGUAGUCUGAAAAAUACAAUUCAAUAGUUAGCUUGAAUGGUAAUUUAUUUUAUUUUUUACACAUCAAUAUAACACAUAAUUAUAUAAGCUGUACAUCAAACCUCAUUUAUAUCUUAUUUUUUACGUAUAACUAAGUUAUUUUUAUAACAAAAAUCGAACUUCAGACAACGCGGAAUUAAUACCUAUCUGCUUCUCAACAUACGUAAGCCUUUAACAUUUUGAUUUGAUACAUCACAUUAGUUAGCGGUCCGUCGUCAAGUCUCAUAAACACACCAGCAUUCAAAAUAAACAGACGUUGAAUAUAUAAAGUUCGAAAAAUUACACUUAGUGUUAUAAUGAUAAGAAAAUUGUGAUAGUGUCUUACAUAUGAAUAAAUAAUGUAUCAAACGGUCAUUUUGGUGAUACUCACCGUGUCAUUGUUCCAUAUCAUCACUUGUCGUAUUUUAAUGAGGACUAGUCCAGGGAAUAUGGAAAUUAAUGAUUAUAAAAAUCUAUCGGAAGAUUACAAGAAAUACAGUUAUUUAAUAACGACGUAUUUAUAACGACUGCAAGUUUUGGUGUAUUAUUAUUAUUUUUUAGAACAUUUCGAUCACAAAUGUUCCCAAAAAAAACUUUUGACUUUAUAUAUUGUAUAUAUACAAGUAAACUGUGAUUUAUAUUUUUAAUUAAUAAAUGAAUUUUGGUAUAAGAUU
RNAcentral lists this unclassified non-coding RNA (692 nucleotides) under Melitaea cinxia (Glanville fritillary). RNAcentral describes it as "misc RNA ENSMCXG00005012714.1". Lineage: Eukaryota; Metazoa; Arthropoda; Insecta; Lepidoptera; Nymphalidae. The record is from RNAcentral.